RNAcentral lists this ribosomal RNA (401 nucleotides) under uncultured bacterium. RNAcentral describes it as "bacterial SSU rRNA". It matches the Rfam family "Bacterial small subunit ribosomal RNA", at positions 356 to 774 of the family's 1533-position model. The record is from RNAcentral.
CGGGAAUUUUGGGCAAUGGGCGAAAGCCUGACCCAGCAACGCCGCGUGAGGGAUGAAGUAUUUCGGUAUGUAAACCUCGAAAGAAUGGGAAGAAUAAAUGACGGUACCAUUUAUAAGCUCCGGCUAACUACGUGCCAGCAGCCGCGGUAAUACGUAGGGAGCAAGCGUUGUUCGGAUUUACUGGGCGUAAAGGGCGCGUAGGCCGCGCGGUAAGUCACUUGUGAAAUCUCUGAGCUUAACUCAGAACGGCCAAGUGAUACUGCUGUGCUAGAGUGCGGAAGAGGCAACCGGAAUUCUUGGUGUAGCGGUGAAAUGCGUAGAUAUCAAGAGGAACACCUGAGGCGAAGGCGGGUUGCUGGGCCGACACUGACGCUGAUGCGCGAAAGCCAGGGGAGCAAACG